UAACAACCUUGUUAGGUGAGGCUCCUAUACAAACAUAAGCUAUUGCUCAGAAACAUCGAAAGAUGCCAAUGGGUAAAACAGGAAUUGUCGGAUUAAGGCUUUUUCCAAGAUAGCUAAGAUGAACAUCUUUACGUUGUAUAGUGCUAAAACUCGGACGAUGAGAUGAUGC
This 169-nucleotide small RNA is filed under the name Enterococcus pallens. RNAcentral's name for it is "Magnesium sequence". It matches the Rfam family "M-box riboswitch aptamer (ykoK leader)". From Rfam's summary of the family: M-box riboswitch, also know as ykoK leader is described as a metaloregulatory RNA that sense divalent metals and function as a genetic control element of genes related to divalent metal transport in bacteria. It was first reported upstream of the B.subtilis ykoK gene and genes with related functions in other bacteria. RNAcentral also lists the same sequence under 1 other name. Lineage: Bacteria; Bacillati; Bacillota; Bacilli; Lactobacillales; Enterococcaceae. The record is from RNAcentral.